UUUCGCAAUGCCCGAAAGGGUGACGAAGCGACGCCGCGUGCGGGAAGAAGGCCUUCGGGUUGUAAACCGCUGUCGGGAGUUAAGAAAUGCAAGGAUGUUAAUAGCAUCUUUGUUUGACUAAGGCUCCGGAGGAAGCCACGGCUAACUCUGUGCCAGCAGCCGCGGUAAUACAGAGGCGGCAAGCGUUGUUCGGAGUUAUUGGGCGUAAAGAGCACGUAGGCGGCUGUGUGAGUCGGUUGUGAAAGCCUUCCGCUUAACGGAAGAACGGCAUCCGAUACUGCAUAGCUCGAGUGCGGGGGGGGAGAGUGGAACUUCUGGUGGAGCGGUGAAAUGCGUAGAUAUCAGAAGGAACACCGGCGGCGAAGGCGACUCUCUGCCCGUAACUGACGCUGAGUGUGCGAAAGCUAGGGGAGCAAACGGGAUUAGAUACCCCGGUAGUCCUAGCCGUAAACGAUGGGCACUAAGUAGAGGGGUUUU
RNAcentral lists this ribosomal RNA (477 nucleotides) under uncultured Planctomycetales bacterium. RNAcentral's name for it is "bacterial SSU rRNA". It matches the Rfam family "Bacterial small subunit ribosomal RNA", at positions 364 to 832 of the family's 1533-position model. Lineage: Bacteria; Pseudomonadati; Planctomycetota; Planctomycetia; Planctomycetales. The record is from RNAcentral.